GAGGAAGUGAGCUGCCAUGUACUAGGCCACGUGGCAAGGGCCUGGUUGGGGACCUCCAGGGGUUGAGAGCAUCCUCUGGACAACAUGGAAAAAGAAAAUGAAAAUGGUGACCUCAGCCCUAUAGCUAGAAGGAAUUGAAUCCUGUCAACAACGAUGUGCGUAGUGCCUCCGCCCAUCUCUCUCUUGCUCCUGGUCUCAUCGUGACGGGCCUGGUCCUGCCUCACUUUAUGCCACGACUAAGAGCUCCCUGAGGCCUCUCCAGAAGCAGAUAUCACUAUGCUUCCUACACAGCCUGCAGAACCGUAUACUCUUCUGCCGAGAGACUGUACUUCUCAGCCUCCCUUGUGGCUAGGUGUGCCAUGUGACUGAGUGCUCAUGAUUGAGAUCUUCUAGGGACUGCUUGAAUUCCUUGACUCACAGUGCCUCACACCAACCUCUGGUUCUAUUGAAACUUUGUCCGGCCUCCUCCCAACCUGCCGUCUCAACCUCUAGUUUCCCUCUUAUAAGGACCUUUGUAAUUGUGAUUACAUCACACUCACCUGGAUAAUUCAGGAAAAUCUCAUCAUGUCAAGAUCCUUAACACAAUAAAAUCUGCAAAUUCCCU
RNAcentral lists this long non-coding RNA (604 nucleotides) under Homo sapiens (human). Its description in RNAcentral is "long intergenic non-protein coding RNA 2241". The record is from RNAcentral. Lineage: Eukaryota; Metazoa; Chordata; Mammalia; Primates; Hominidae.